This 253-nucleotide ribosomal RNA is filed under the name uncultured bacterium. Its description in RNAcentral is "partial 16S ribosomal RNA". It matches the Rfam family "Bacterial small subunit ribosomal RNA", at positions 524 to 776 of the family's 1533-position model. The record is from RNAcentral.
GACGUAGGGCGCAAGCGUUGUCCGGAUUUAUUGGGCGUAAAGAGCUCGUAGGCGGCUCGUUGCGUCGGCUGUGAAAACCCGCAGCUCAACUGUGGGCUUGCAGCCGAUACGGGCGGACUUGAGUUCGGUAGGGGAGACUGGAAUUCCUGGUGUAGCGGUGAAAUGCGCAGAUAUCAGGAGGAACACCGGUGGCGAAGGCGGGUCUCUGGGCCGAUACUGACGCUGAGGAGCGAAAGCGUGGGGAGCGAACAGG